Molecule: non-coding RNA, 21 nt
Filed under: Caenorhabditis elegans
Lineage: Eukaryota; Metazoa; Nematoda; Chromadorea; Rhabditida; Rhabditidae
Source: RNAcentral
UCUGGAAAUUUUAGUGAAUAA